This 806-nucleotide ribosomal RNA is filed under the name uncultured bacterium. RNAcentral's name for it is "bacterial SSU rRNA". It matches the Rfam family "Bacterial small subunit ribosomal RNA", at positions 553 to 1356 of the family's 1533-position model. The record is from RNAcentral.
AUUGGGCGUAAAGAGCUUGUAGGCGGUUUGUCGCGUCUGCUGUGAAAGCCCGGGGCUUAACCCCGGGUUUGCAGUGGGUACGGGCAGACUAGAGUGCAGUAGGGGAGACUGGAAUUCCUGGUGUAGCGGUGAAAUGCGCAGAUAUCAGGAGGAACACCAAUGGCGAAGGCAGGUCUCUGGGCUGUAACUGACGCUGACUAAGCGAAAGCAUGGGGAGCAAACAGGAUUAGAUACCCUGGUAGUCCAUGCCGUAAACGUUGGGCACUAGGUGUGGGGAACAUUCCACGUUUUCCGCGCCGUAGCUAACGCAUUAAGUGCCCCGCCUGGGGAGUACGGCCGCAAGGCUAAAACUCAAAGAAAUUGACGGGGGCCCGCACAAGCGGCGGAGCAUGCGGAUUAAUUCGAUGCAACGCGAAGAACCUUACCAAGGCUUGACAUAUACUAGACCGCCUCAGAGAUGGGGUUUCCCUUCGGGGCUGGUAUACAGGUGGUGCAUGGUUGUCGUCAGCUCGUGUCGUGAGAUGUUGGGUUAAGUCCCGCAACGAGCGCAACCCUCGUUCUAUGUUGCCAGCACGUAAUGGUGGGGACUCAUAGGAGACUGCCGGGGUUAACUCGGAGGAAGGUGGGGAUGACGUCAAAUCAUCAUGCCCCUUAUGUCUUGGGCUUCACGCAUGCUACAAUGGCCGGUACAAAGGGUUGCGAUACUGUGAGGUUGAGCUAAUCCCAAAAAGCCGGUCUCAGUUCGGAUUGGGGUCUGCAACUCGACCCCAUGAAGUCGGAGUCGCUAGUAAUCGCAGAUCAGCAAC